CGACUGAAAAGGAAAUAAAACUGAAACCGACCCAUGAAAGAAAAUCAUCUUAAAAUUUCACAGAUCUCUAAGUGAUAUCACUGAGCACUGCAUCUUCAGAGACAAUGGACCCUCUGGAUGGAAAAGGACACUGUGCCCUGGGGCCGCCACAUUUAAGCAUCUGCAUAUUUGUUGCGUUAAAUCUUCAACGUUCACCAGAGUCUCAAACCACACAGCUUUUCUAGGUUUUCACUUGCUGUUUCUAAGGGGAGAACAGAGAUUUCUUCCACUAUGAAAAGAAAGGGGUCCCCUUCUGUCCCUCUUAGACAGAACCUAUCUUGCGAUCAAAUUGUCCUACUCUUAAAACACAAACGAAAAGAAGGGGGGCUUCUUAUCGGAAAGUGUCUUCUUAUCAGAAGGGGGGCUCAGCUAAGGACCCCAGCACAUGACCUCACUUCCUUGGUGACAGGUCCAAACAGACCUUGGAACCCUGUCACCAGGCACCACGGUCUAGCGCCAACUGCCCUCCCAGUCACUUGGCUGGAAAUAGGCAGCAGCGAACAUGCUGUGCUGCUUUCCCAGGCCUCCAGGCCGCAGCCUCGGGACCCCACGCAGGGAAACCACUUGCCAACGAGUGAGAGGAUGGUUCACUCGGCCCAGAAGCUUCAGGACCCUCAUCAGGAACCACCCAACAGUCACGGGCAGCCCAGGGCAGGUCUCACCAGACCCAGCCCCCAGAUGCCCAGAGACGAGAGAGAGCCCAGGGCAGGUGUCCCGAGGCCCGACCUUCAUCCGCUCAGAGGCACCGAAUCCACUACAGGUCUACGUAGACCCGGACACCACUAUUGGACAUCAAUCGGCCGAGAGCCCGGCAGAGGUCUGCAGAGUGAACACAGUGCGGGCAGGGGCACCCCACACCCUGACGGAGCCGCUGGAGAAGGCCUUCCUGGACAGGAAGAGCAGAUUUUUAUGGAACAUCAGCCAUGUGCCCUUGGGUGCAAGAACACACCAGAUACCUAUUCCUGUCCUCGUGGAGCUCACCCGCCAAUGGAAAGGGGCAGAGAGACACCUUUUCAGGCUUCCCUGAAGAAGGCAGAGGUCCACCUCUUCUGUUCCAAACUCCUCACUGGAGCUGAACUCUCAGAUAGAGUCCAUAGAUGAGCUUCUCCUGGACCAUCUGGAUCGCCCCGAACCUCCUGAGGCACAGCUCCAGAGUGUGGAGGACUGUGUGCCAGCUCCAGGCCCCGAUCAAGUCCCACCUGCAGAGCUCCUGCCUGCUCUACCUGCAGCUCCCUCACCAGCUGUGGCCCCACACCAAGAGCCAGGACCUAUAACCUCUUCCCCACCAGCUGCAGAGCCGGAACUCCUGGCAUCUCCACGACAGGUGUCAUCUCUUGAGCUCUACCUGGGGCCGGCUCUUGGCCCACUGCUGCCAUUCCUGUCACAUACAGAUUUACUUAUUAUACUUAUUGUUACUCUGACUGCUCAGAGACAGGACAAUGAUAGAAUUAAUGUAAAUAAAUUAACAUUUUACCCUUAUUUAAAAUGAUCAC
Molecule: long non-coding RNA, 1532 nt
Filed under: Heterocephalus glaber (naked mole-rat)
Lineage: Eukaryota; Metazoa; Chordata; Mammalia; Rodentia; Bathyergidae
Description: lncRNA (ENSHGLG00100035668.1)
Source: RNAcentral